GGAAGGAUCAUUGCCGAACGGACGCGCGCCUCGCUGCCCUCCUCGCUUCCGCGAGUGGUCUGGCCGGCCGCGUCCUAUCGCACACCCAUGUGAACUCGUGAUCGUGACCCUGGACGGUGGCCGCCGCCGCGCGCGCCGCCGAUCCGGCUCCUUUCAUACAUUACAAACCACGCGAACAACCUCUUGACUGAGACAAACAGGGUCACGCCUAAAAACGCGACUCGACAAGACAUAACCUAUCACAACUUUUAACAACGGAUAUCUUGGCUCGCGCAUCGAUGAAGAACGCAGCGAAAUGCGAUAAGUAGUGUGAAUUGCAGAUCAAGCGAAUCAUCGAAGUUUUGAACGCAAGUUGCGGCGCACAGAUCUUCUGUGUGCCAUGCCUGCUUGAGUGUCUGUAACCAAACUCGAACCGAGUCCGAUUUCACCGCAUCAUUCAUCAGAGUGAUGAUGAUGACAGCGCGACUCGUGCUUCGGAUCUGGGCGCCUUCCGCGGUGCGCACGCACACACGAGCACACCCCGGUCGCCUCAAGUGCAGACGCCGUCCGACCCCACGUCGCGACAACACCAUAACGCGGUAAGGGAUCACAACAUUCCUCCUAACGUUACGGGACCGUCACACAUCCAAACGACGCGUGCUGGUAUCGGUAACAAAAACGGCGGCGAAGGAAACACCACCCGGCCGAUCGCGCGCUCACGCGCGCAGCGGUGCAGGGAAACACUCAACAUUUGACCUCAAGUCAGGUAAGAGGACCCGCUGGAUUUAAGCAUAUAACUAAGCGGAGGAAAAGAAACUAACAAGGAUUCCCUCAGUAACGGCGAGUGAAGCGGGAAGAGCUCAAAUUUUCAAUCUGUCCGCCACGCGGACCGAAUUGUAAUCUAGAGAGGUCAUGGCUGGGUUGCACGCCGUAUAAGUCAUCCAGGAACGGUGCGUCAUAGAGGGUGAGAACCCCGUACAUGACGGCGAUGCUUCCCUUACGCUAGGCCUUCCAAGAGUCGGGUUGCUUGGGAAUGCAGCUCUAAGCUGGAGGUAAACUCCUUCUAAAGCUAAAUAUCGGCGCGAGACCGAUAGCGAACAAGUACCGUGAGGGAAAGAUGAAAAGAACUUUGAAAAGAGAGUUAAAAAGUGCUUGAAAUUGUUAAAAGGGAAGGCGUUCGGCCCAGUGAUGUGGGCGUCGGACUCAGAAGCCGUGGUCGAUCCUCGGCGCGCGCGGGCACCGCAAGGGCCCCGUGCGCCGUUCGGGUUGGUCCGGUGACGUACUUCCGGCGCACGCAGGCCAGCAUCGAUUCGACCGGUCGGGACAAAGGCGUCAGCUAGGUAAGCCGGAGGGCAACCUUUUGGCCCAUGAGCGGCGCUGCUACCGACCGUUGGAUCGAGGCCUCGUGACGAGGAGUGGCGCGCGCCCGUUAGAUGUUCGGGCGAGGUACGCCGGUGGACCAGCGUUGGUAGCGGGCAGGAGCAGCAUGCUGACCCGGCCCGUCAUGUAUACCGGUGCUCGUUGCCGGCGCCUCGGCGCGCCGUGAUGCUGGCGAAAUGGACCCAACGCACCCGUCUUGAAACACGGACCAAGGAGUCUAACGUAUGUGCGAGCGGUUGAGUGGCAAACUCGAACGCGCAAUGAAAGUGAAGGUGGCGGGUACGCCACCGAGAUAGGAUCCGCAAGGUGCACUAUCGACCGAUCUGGAUUUUCUUGAAAGAUUUGAGUGAGAGCACAUCCGCUGGGACCCGAAAGAUGGUGAACUAUGCCUGGGUAGGGUGAAGCCAGAGGAAACUCUGGUGGAGGCUCGUAGCGAUUCUGACGUGCAAAUCGAUCGUCAAAUUUGGGCAUAGGGGCGAAAGACUAAUCGAACCAUCUAGUAGCUGGUUCCCUC
This 1873-nucleotide unclassified non-coding RNA is filed under the name uncultured fungus. RNAcentral describes it as "sequence contains 18S rRNA gene, ITS1, 5.8S rRNA gene, ITS2, 28S rRNA gene". The stretch from base 732 to 1873 matches the Rfam family "Eukaryotic large subunit ribosomal RNA", at positions 1 to 961 of the family's 3401-position model. The record is from RNAcentral. Lineage: Eukaryota; Fungi.